Molecule: non-coding RNA, 834 nt
Organism: Arachis ipaensis
Lineage: Eukaryota; Viridiplantae; Streptophyta; Magnoliopsida; Fabales; Fabaceae
Source: RefSeq, a predicted model, not a curated record
AUUUAUUUUUUAAUUAUUAUAGUGCGGAUCUGCAGAUCCGCGGAUCGGAUAUGCGGAUGUAGAGCAGAUAUCCGCGAUCCGAUCCGAUCAAUUUACGGAUCGGAUCGUAUCCGCAAUUUUCGGAUCGGAUGCGGAUAUUUACUGCAGAUCUGUGGAUACGAUCCGAUCCAUGAACACCCCUAUUCAAGGAUGAUACUUUAGGCCGCUCUCAAGAGUGAGCAAACAUGAGAGAUGAUGAUGGUGCAAAAUGAGUAUUCUUUGGAGGGGAGUGUUUUUUAGAAGGAAUAUCGGGAGAAGCAUAUAGAACAGUCUGCAACAGUCCACUUGGGCUUGAGUUUCAGUUGCACAUCACAGAAGCUCUUUGUCCUACAUUAAGUGAGCCAGGUAAUUAAAAGGACACUUUCUACAUGUAUCCAUAUUGAAUCGAUACAAGUGACACAGAUGUUGUAUGAAGUUAAUAUAUCAUGUGUGCAGGAUUUCGUGCACUUCUCCACUUUAUGACAGGGUUAUGUGUCUGUCUAAACAGGGGAGAUGUAAAUUUGAAGGCCCAGGUUUCAAUUGCCUUAACUUUUCUCACCUUUGAGAAAAUCAGUUUUCAGAAGCUUGUUUUUGGACAAAGCUCAUCUAUUAUUCUAGCUUUUUGAGUCGUCUUUGAAUUUGAAUCAUGACAGUGAUCUAAUGAAGCUGCUGGGCACUCUCUUGUCUCAGUUGUUGUGGACCAUAUAUUUAUUUGCAUCAAAGAUUCUGAAUUCCAGCUUGAACUAUUAAUGCAAUCCCUUUUUCUCUCUUGGGUAAUUUCCUUGAUUAUAUUCUUUUUUGUGUCUUUAUUUGUGA